AUGGGCGAUAUGGCGAAGGUCGUGGCCAUCGUGGUCGCGGCCGUCGUGCUCGUGGCGUGCGUGUUCCUGGCCAUUUGGAAGUACCGAUGGCAGGCCAGCACCGUUGCACGCACACGGACACGGUCACUCGAGUCAUCCACGGCUACGCCGCAGGCCAACGGCUCCGCGAGCCUUAAUCCAGUAUCUCUGUCUUCGUGGUCUUCGAGAGCGUCUCCGACUGGGGCAACAACCUACUGCCGGCGGGGAAGCAAAUCGCCUUCUGGGGCGGGCGGGGCAACAACGGCAGGGACCAGCCCAUGUCCGUCUUUGGGAUCCCGAAGUACCAUUACAAGGAUCUGCAGAAGGCUACCAAAAACUUCACAACGAUUCUGGGCCAUGGAUCAUUUGGUCUUGUGUACAAGACUGUAA
RNAcentral lists this ribosomal RNA (408 nucleotides) under Triticum aestivum (bread wheat). RNAcentral describes it as "partial small subunit ribosomal RNA". Lineage: Eukaryota; Viridiplantae; Streptophyta; Magnoliopsida; Poales; Poaceae. The record is from RNAcentral.